RNAcentral lists this small RNA (285 nucleotides) under human gut metagenome. RNAcentral describes it as "5' ureB small RNA". It matches the Rfam family "5' ureB small RNA". The record is from RNAcentral.
CUGCUGAGGGCAGAUAAAAUGAAUGUGUGAGUCAAUGCCGCCAGCCGUUACUAUCAUACCCUCGCCUGCAAGUGCCUCGGUAGAUGCACCAACCGUCAUGCCGGGUGUAACAUUUUCCAUAAUAUCGGGGUUGCCUGCAUGACCUAUUGCCGCAAUUUUACCGUCCUUAAUGCCUAUAUCCGCCUUGUAAAUGCCCGUAUAGUCAACAAUAAGCGCAUUUGUGAUAACCAAAUCCAAAUCGCCGUCGGCAGAGGUUGAGUUUACACUCUGACCCAUACCAUCCCU